RNAcentral lists this ribosomal RNA (995 nucleotides) under uncultured bacterium. RNAcentral's name for it is "bacterial SSU rRNA". It matches the Rfam family "Bacterial small subunit ribosomal RNA", at positions 356 to 1376 of the family's 1533-position model. The record is from RNAcentral.
GGGGAAUAUUGCACAAUGGGGGAAACCCUGAUGCAGCGACGCCGCGUGGAGGAAGAAGGUCUUCGGAUUGUAAACUCCUGUUGUUGAGGAAGAUAAUGACGGUACUCAACAAGGAAGUGACGGCUAACUACGUGCCAGCAGCCGCGGUAAAACGUAGGUCACAAGCGUUGUCCGGAAUUACUGGGUGUAAAGGGAGCGCAGGCGGGAAGACAAGUUGGAAGUGAAAUCUAUGGGCUCAACCCAUAAACUGCUUUCAAAACUGUUUUUCUUGAGUAGUGCAGAGGUAGGCGGAAUUCCCGGUGUAGCGGUGGAAUGCGUAGAUAUCGGGAGGAACACCAGUGGCGAAGGCGGCCUACUGGGCACCAACUGACGCUGAGGCUCGAAAGUGUGGGUAGCAAACAGGAUUAGAUACCCUGGUAGUCCACACCGUAAACGAUGAUUACUAGGUGUUGGAGGAUUGACCCCUUCAGUGCCGCAGUUAACACAAUAAGUAAUCCACCUGGGGAGUACGACCGCAAGGUUGAAACUCAAAGGAAUUGACGGGGGCCCGCACAAGCAGUGGAGUAUGUGGUUUAAUUCGACGCAACGCGAAGAACCUUACCAAGUCUUGACAUCCCUUGACGAACAUAGAAAUAUGUUUUCUCUUCGGAGCAAGGAGACAGGUGGUGCAUGGUUGUCGUCAGCUCGUGUCGUGAGAUGUUGGGUUAAGUCCCGCAACGAGCGCAACCCUUACUGUCAGUUACUACGCAAGAGGACUCUGGCAGGACUGCCGUUGACAAAACGGAGGGAGGUGGGGAUGACGUCAAAUCAUCAUGCCCUUUAUGACUUGGGCUACACACGUACUACAAUGGCGUUAAACAAAGAGAAGCAAGACCGCGAGGUGGAGCAAAACUCAGAAACAACGUCCCAGUUCGGACUGCAGGCUGCAACUCGCCUGCACGAAGUCGGAAUUGCUAGUAAUCGUGGAUCAGCAUGCCACGGUGAAUACGUUCCCG